Molecule: unclassified non-coding RNA, 1426 nt
Filed under: Zea mays
Lineage: Eukaryota; Viridiplantae; Streptophyta; Magnoliopsida; Poales; Poaceae
Description: misc RNA Zm00001eb164260
Source: RNAcentral
GCCCUCUGCACUCUGCAGUUUUACAUUCUGCGCAGCACGGCAGUUUCACAUUCUGCGCAGCACUCUGCAGUUCUAUACCUCUAUGUUCUACUGCCUUACUUCAGUAGUACUUAGCUUCAUCUCUGCCAACCAGUUUCCAUCAGCCCAGCAGUAGCAUAUCUAGUGCCUAGUAUUGACUUGACCUCUAUCUGUUGACAUGUUCAGAGUUUCAUGCUGCCGGUGGACGAAGAGGUGCUAAUGUUGAGGUCUUAUUCCCCGGGUCCAAUGUGGUUGGCAGUGGCAGUGCAACUGCAAGUGAUUAUGUUCCUCCCGUGACCUCAAAUGUUGAUAGCACAGGCCCUGCUUCGGCAUUAUCAGCUGCUGCAGACUCAAAAAGCCUUGCUGAAAAGGCUAUUGCAGCACUCCCUCCUGAGCUUAGUGCACAAGCAACUGACCCAAAAAGAAAGGCAAGGUCACAGGACCCAGGAUGGAAGUUUGGGUGGUGGCCAGACACAACGAAGAAGGAUUUUGUUCAGUGUAUUUUCUGUUCGAAGAUUGUUCCUUCCGGAAUCAAAAGGUUCAAGCAGCAUCUUGCCGGUGGGUUUGGUGACACCAUGAAGUGUGCUAGAGUACCAGAACUGGUUUCAAAGGAAAUGCACAUGUAUUUAAAAAGGAACAUGAGACUUGUGAUUACUGCUAAUACUGAAGAAGGUGAAGAGGGAGAAGAGCGGGAUGAUGAAGGUCCUGAACCAAGUUCUGGGACAAAAAACAAGCAAACAAAAAAGAAAAUUGCCCAAGCUGCCAUGUCCUCAUUUCUUGUAUCUGCUCCUCCAAAACCAAGUACCCAGAAGGCAAGCAAAUCAGUGAGUGCCAUGCUCUGCAAGACUCCAGAAGAAGUAGUUGCAGAGAGGCAUAAAAACAAAACUUCUCAGUCCACCCUUGAGCACUGCACAAAGAAAGGGACACAAGCACAGCAAAUUGUUGACGACCAUGUAGCUGAUUUUCUGUAUGAGAACAAGAUUCCAUUGAAUGUCGUAAACUCAAGAAGUUGGAAGAUUAUGUUGGAGUCUAUUGGUCAGUACGGUCCUGGAUAUCAUGGCCCAUCGUAUCAUGAGGCUAGAGUACCUUGGCUUGAAAGGGCAGUGAAGAGAACAUCGACAUUGAGAGAUAAGCACGAAGAGGCUUGGAAGGAAUAUGGUUGCUCAAUUAUGUCAGAUGGGUGGACCGACACAAGACAACGUCAUUUGAUCAACUUCCUUGCCAACAGUCCAGCAGGGACAUACUUCCUAGGUUCUGUUGAUGCAUCAAGUGAGGUAGCAAAUGCCAAUAUGUUGGCAGAUCUGUUGGAGAAGCAAAUAAUGAAGGUGGGCAAAGAACAUGUUGUCCAGGUGGUAACUGACAAUGGAGCCAAUUUCAAAGCAGCAGGGCGGAUCCUAAUGGACAGAAU